Gorilla gorilla gorilla (western lowland gorilla) is the source of this 300-nucleotide unclassified non-coding RNA. It matches the Rfam family "Metazoan signal recognition particle RNA". Rfam says of the family: The signal recognition particle (SRP) is a universally conserved ribonucleoprotein. It is involved in the co-translational targeting of proteins to membranes. The eukaryotic SRP consists of a 300-nucleotide 7S RNA and six proteins: SRPs 72, 68, 54, 19, 14, and 9. NCBI's taxonomy places the organism in Eukaryota, Metazoa, Chordata, Mammalia, Primates, Hominidae. The record is from Ensembl.
ACCAGGUGGGGUGGCACAUGCCUGUAGUCCUAGCUACUCAGGAGGCUGAGAUGGGAGGACUGCUUGAGCUCGGGAGCUCUGGGCUGUAGUGCAUUAUGCUCCUCGAGUGUCCACAGUAUGUUUGGCAUCAAUAUGGUGACCUCCCAGGAGUGGGAGACCACCAGGUCGCCUAAGGAGAGAUGAACUUGCCUAGGUAGAAAAUGGAGUAGGUCAAAACUCGCAUCCUGAUCAGUAGUGGGAUGGUGCCUGUGAACAGCCAUUGCACUACAGCCUGGGCAACACAGUGAGACCCCAUCAUGU